UACGAAGGGGGCUAGCGUUGUUCGGAAUUACUGGGCGUAAAGGGCGCGUAGGCGGCCUGCUAAGUCGGACGUGAAAUCCCUCGGCUCAACCGAGGAACUGCGUCCGAUACUGGUGGGCUUGAAUCCGGGAGAGGGAUGUGGAAUUCCAGGUGUAGCGGUGAAAUGCGUAGAUAUCUGGAGGAACACCGGUGGCGAAGGCGGCAUCCUGGACCGGUAUUGACGCUGAGGCGCGAAAGCUAGGGGAGCAAACGGG
Molecule: ribosomal RNA, 253 nt
Filed under: uncultured bacterium
Lineage: Bacteria
Description: partial 16S ribosomal RNA
Rfam family: Bacterial small subunit ribosomal RNA
Source: RNAcentral